AGGGGGAGCCAAUCCCAAAAAGCCAGUCUCAGUUCGGAUCGCAGGCUGCAACUCGCCUGCGUGAAGCCGGAAUCGCUAGUAAUCGCGGAUCAGCAUGCCGCGGUGAAUACGUUCCCGGGCCUUGUACACACCGCCCGUCACACCACGAGAGUUUGCAACACCCGAAGUCGGUGAGGCAACCUUUUAGGAGCCAGCCGCCGAAGGUGGGGCAGAUGAUUGGGGUGAAGUCGUAACAAGGUAUCCCUACCGGAAGGUGGGGAUGGAUCACCUCCUUUCU
This 277-nucleotide ribosomal RNA is filed under the name Thermoactinomyces vulgaris. Its description in RNAcentral is "partial 16S ribosomal RNA". It matches the Rfam family "Bacterial small subunit ribosomal RNA", at positions 1260 to 1533 of the family's 1533-position model. The record is from RNAcentral. Lineage: Bacteria; Bacillati; Bacillota; Bacilli; Caryophanales; Thermoactinomycetaceae.